This 528-nucleotide unclassified non-coding RNA is filed under the name Hevea brasiliensis (rubber tree). The record is from RNAcentral. Lineage: Eukaryota; Viridiplantae; Streptophyta; Magnoliopsida; Malpighiales; Euphorbiaceae.
UUUCUAUUUACAUUAGUUUCCAUGAAAUUAGGUUUCCUUGCAAAGUUAGGAAUCUUGUAUACAAGUAUGCAUAUGUAUAAAGUCAUUGACAUAUAUGAAAAAUACAAAAAUUUCACUCAAAUACAUUAGUUUCAUCAUGAUAUUAGAGCUUUCGAUUCAUUAGGGUAGGUUUAGUACUGUUUACGUGUACUGUUUACAUGCACUAUUCAAGGGUACUGAUCAUCGGCAUUGUUCACAGCACAUAGAUCUCCAACUUUUUCAACUGUUCCUCAUGUGUUGCGCUUCUAUCCAGCCAUUGUUCUUGAUCUGACCACAAGCGAAUAUGUUUGAAAUAGUGGAUUACUCUAAAAAAACAAAUGAUAUUGGCAUUUUUUCUAAUAAAAAAGUUCAAUCUCUAAAGCGUUUGUUGUCUCAACUUGAAUCUCAAUUUUUCACAAUUGGCUCUUUCAAUUUUAUCAAAUCAGAUAAUGUUAUUAAGGCGAAAAGUGAUACUAUGGCGAUAGAGUACCCUAUGACCUUAGGCGAGAG